ACUAAUGAAAAAUGUAGCGGGUUUCCUCUCUAAGACAUUUUGUAAUAACCAGUUCAUUAAUCAAUGUGCUCUAGUGAUGUUGUUAAAGAAAACAAACUGGUAUCUUGGAGAAAUUUCAAAACAUCAGAAUUUCUCCUACUAAAUAUCUUUUCUUGUUUGCUUAAAAUGAACACCCCAACAGUUGUUUGAAUUGUUCGGGUGGGUUUUUUUUAGGUUUUUUUUACUGGGGUCUCAUUAAACAUUCAUUCAUUCAUGAUUGCACUCAAUACAAUUUAACACCACAAAUUAACACUACAAAUCAACUUGCAUUAAUAUGAUGUCAUAUAUUACCAGUGACAUAAUACUCCCCAUGUGAAACCAAUGAUGUUAUUGCCCAUGCGAGACCGAUUUAUUCCAUAAGGGCUGAAGUUGUGGAAUGGGUCGGUCUUGCAUAGCUAGGGAUGGGAGAAAAUAAGAUGUGGAAUGUUUUUAAAUCCACACACAAUUCUUUUUACAUUACAUUGUUGGAGACUGGUUUUUAUUUAAAUAUGUGUGUGUAAUAUUGUUAAUAUUUAUCACAGCCCUAUUUACUGAUUUACAAUUUCAUGUUUUUUGACAUAAACAUUUUUCUUACUCACUUUAAUUUCUCCUUACUCGAUAUUAUCAUUUAAUUUAUUAUUUUGUGUUUGUAUACUGAGCAAAUAGAGCAUGUUUUGUGAACUUAAAGUAGUGGAUAAAUGCAUAAAUAGAUAAAUGUAAAAAAAAAAAUGUACGUGUGUUUGUACAUGUACAAUAUCGCAUACAGUAUUACAUGCAUGUUACUUACACAUUUUCACAUUUACCUUAGUUUGACACCUAGUAACAAAUGAAAUGUAUUUUUCAUGCUUGGGCAUUCAUUUAUUCAUUAAUUUAGGACAAAGUCAAUUUUAAUAUUUACUGUACCUGUUAUAUUGUUUUUCACAGGUCUGUAAUUUAUGUUCUGAAUUUUUAUAUUGAUAUCAAUCAUCUAUUCAUUCAUAUAGUUACUGUAAGGCUUUGUUAUAGCAUGUGUGUAUUUUUCAUGCUAGAGUUUCAAUUCAUUAGGGGAAUCGGAAUGUGUUUAAAAUGGUCGGACUAAAAGAUCACCUGUGGAUGAUCUAAACUUGAUACAAUCCACUGAGACAGUAGCAACAUUCACCAAGUCCUCAAUGAUCUAAACUCGUGAUACAAUCCACUGAGACAGGCUGGCAACAUUCAUCAAGUUCUCAAUGAUAUCUUGGCACUUUCUGGCAUAAUUAUUGCAACAUAUUUUCUCCAGAAAAUGCAUCAACAAGACUGAUCAUUAAAUUGUUUGUGGAGUUGUGAAUGGAUUUUCCACUCUUGAGGAAAGAGCCAUAAAUGAUCGCUUAUUGAUCAUUACACCAGAUCUGUUUGUGGGUUGUCUGAACAAUUGGAAAAAGUCUAUAUGGUUAUGUGUGUCACCAGAUUCACCGGAAGAAACCAGACUGUUAAAUAUAGGAUGUGAAUAGUGUGACAAUAUUGUCACAUUUUAAUAUAAUGUGAUUUUAAAACCACAGAUUUAAAACAUUUAAGAAAUAACACAUUUCUAUCAGUUUUAAGACUCAUGUAAUGUGUAUUUAAGACAUCUGUAAUAUAUGUAUUUAUCAUCAUCAUACAUAGCCCAUGUAUUUAUCAUCAUACAUAGCCCAUGUAUUUUUCGUGCUGGGGUGUCGUUAAACAUCUAUUCUAUUCUAUUGUUCAUAAAUACUCUUCUUCUUUUUUGGUAACUACCAGUAUAUAUGUCUGAUCAGCUUUUUACACCUAUAUAUAUAUAGAGAUUAUUAUACGAGCUUGUGUGUCGUACUGUUUUUAUGAAACAAGUGUCAGGAUUAUCUCGCUCGGGUAAUACAUGAAUCCUGACACAAGUUUCGUAAAAUCAGUAUG
Long non-coding RNA from Gigantopelta aegis, 1902 nucleotides. RefSeq lists it as uncharacterized. The transcript has 4 exons. The record is from RefSeq and is a predicted model, not a curated record. Lineage: Eukaryota; Metazoa; Mollusca; Gastropoda; Neomphalida; Peltospiridae.